This 482-nucleotide ribosomal RNA is filed under the name uncultured bacterium. RNAcentral describes it as "partial 16S ribosomal RNA". It matches the Rfam family "Bacterial small subunit ribosomal RNA", at positions 30 to 505 of the family's 1533-position model. The record is from RNAcentral.
AUUGAACGCUGGCGGCAGGCCUAACACAUGCAAGUCGAGCGGAUGAAGGGAGCUUGCUCCUGGAUUCAGCGGCGGACGGGUGAGUAAUGCCUAGGAAUCUGCCUGGUAGUGGGGGAUAACGUCCGGAAACGGGCGCUAAUACCGCAUACGUCCUGAGGGAGAAAGUGGGGGAUCUUCGGACCUCACGCUAUCAGAUGAGCCUAGGUCGGAUUAGCUAGUUGGUGGGGUAAAGGCCUACCAAGGCGACGAUCCGUAACUGAUCUGAGAGGAUGAUCAGUCACACUGGAACUGAGACACGGUCCAGACUCCUACGGGAGGCAGCAGUGGGGAAUAUUGGACAAUGGGCGAAAGCCUGAUCCAGCCAUGCCGCGUGUGUGAAGAAGGUCUUCGGAUUGUAAAGCACUUUAAGUUGGGAGGAAGGGCAGUAAGUUAAUACCUUGCUGUUUUGACGUUACCAACAGAAUAAGCACCGGCGAACUUCG